GGGCAGGGCUUGAACCUUCUGGUUACUGGUCUAAUAUCUUAACUGCUAAACUACCACCACACCCAGUUAGUCGCGACCCCUGUUGUAACGUGGAGAGAACAUGAGACAGAUGCCACCACUGAGAGCGAGAUUUAUUUUCUGCAAAUCCAAAAUCAGGGUGGAUGGAGCGAUCCAGGGAGCAUGAUAUCAAAGCCACAACACGAAAAGCAGACUGAGAGCGAAAAACACAGAACACAGGCUAGAACUAAUGACAUAUCCUAAGGCAGGCUUAGUACAAUGGCCAGCAAGAAAACAGCAAACACAUGCUUCAUACACAUUAACACAGAACUAGAAACAGGUGUCAUUAAUGAAAGACAUAGAAACUCAAACGAGGGGAAGAAUAACAAGCAAGCGAAGCAAAAAAACAUAAGACAGGGUUACCAUGGCGAUAGAGUCGCUAGGAGAAGCCAAACAAGACACCCGGUGUAGUUUAUCAGUCUGGAACGGGCGAAAAAAACGUGGAAGUCAGUUCUGCGUCACUGCUACAGUAAGAGGUGAACUCUGACCUGUGCAGUUGCCUUGUCUGAGCUAGGCGAUAUUCCUGGAGCAUAACAUUCCGUCUCUGGACCUACAGGAAACAGUCAGGCAUCUUGCAUACGAACGGACAGAGCAGAGCUGCAGGUGUGUGAAAAACAUGGACAAGGGAGAAAGCGUGACUCAAAUCAUGGAGUGGAAGGACGCUUGUAAUCUGAGCUACGGAGGACCUGAUCAAAUCCAGGAUAGUCUGUGUGGGAUCGUCUGCUAAUCCAGAGAGGCUGGGGACGCAAUUCAAAUGGGUUCAGAUUUAUCAAUGUUGAAUUUAAGAUUAUUAAUUUUUAUCAGAAUUUAAUUUAAGAAAAUUAUUAUUACUGAAUUUAAGACUUGUGCAGAGUUUCUUCCAUGUACAUUCAGCUGUCUGUGUAGACCUUACCCUCAUCAAGAGUGUGCUCCCUCUGAUCUGGGAUCAGUGUUGUUUUUUACAUUUUUAACAUUAGCUUCACAUUUCACACACUUUCAAGAAUGUGAAACGUUUGUUUGAAGGGUUCGAGCUCAGCUGGUACUGUGUUCACUGACUCAGCUUUCAAAUAAAUGACUUUCAAAUUUU
Non-coding RNA from Electrophorus electricus (electric eel), 1123 nucleotides. NCBI's taxonomy places the organism in Eukaryota, Metazoa, Chordata, Actinopteri, Gymnotiformes, Gymnotidae. The record is from RefSeq and is a predicted model, not a curated record.